AACGCUGGCGGCGCGCUUAACACAUGCAAGUCGCACGAGAAAGUGGAGCAAUCCAUGAGUACAGUGGCGUACGGGUGAGUAACACGUGGAUUAUCUACCUUCUAGUGGGGAAUACCUCCGGGAAACUGGAGACAAUACCGCAUAAGCUCGUAAGAGGAAAGCAGCAAUGCGCUGGAAGAGGAGUCCGCGGCUGAUUAGCUAGUUGGCGGGGUAAUGGCCCACCAAGGCGAAGAUCGGUAGCCGGCCUGAGAGGGCACACGGCCACACUGGCACUGAAACACGGGCCAGACUCCUACGGGAGGCAGCAGUGGGGAAUCUUGCACAAUGGAGGAAACUCUGAUGCAGCGACGCCGCGUGAGCGAUGAAGCCCUUCGGGGUGUAAAGCUCUUUCGACGGGAACGAUAAUGAC
Molecule: ribosomal RNA, 409 nt
Filed under: uncultured bacterium
Lineage: Bacteria
Description: bacterial SSU rRNA
Rfam family: Bacterial small subunit ribosomal RNA
Source: RNAcentral